Long non-coding RNA from Mytilus californianus (California mussel), 101 nucleotides. RefSeq lists it as uncharacterized. NCBI's taxonomy places the organism in Eukaryota, Metazoa, Mollusca, Bivalvia, Mytilida, Mytilidae. The record is from RefSeq and is a predicted model, not a curated record. The transcript has 2 exons.
CAUCCUGUCAUGUAAGUACCUUCUACUGGUAUCUGUAGAACAAGAAUCCAUACUCACCAUCCUGUCAUGUAAGUACCUUCUACUGGUAUCUGUGUAGAGAA